AUACGUAGGGGGCGAGCGUUGUCCGGAAUGAUUGGGCGUAAAGGGCGCGUAGGCGGCCCGGUAAGUCUGGAGUGAAAGUCCUGUUUUUAAGAUGGGAAUUGCUUUGGAUACUGUCGGGCUUGAGUGCAGGAGAGGUAAGUGGAAUUCACAGUGUAGCGGUGAAAUGCGUAGAGGUUGGGAGGAACACCAGUGGCGAAGGCGACUUACUGGACUGUAACUGACGCUGAGGCGCGAAAGUGUGGGGAGCAAACAGGAUUAGAUACCCUGGUAGUCCACACUGUAAACGAUGAAUGCUAGGUGUAGGGGGUAUCGACCCCUUCUGUGCCGCAGUCAACACAAUAAGCAUUCCGCCUGGGGAGUACGGCCGCAAGGUUGAAACUCAAAGGAAUUGACGGGG
RNAcentral lists this ribosomal RNA (397 nucleotides) under uncultured bacterium. Its description in RNAcentral is "partial 16S ribosomal RNA". It matches the Rfam family "Bacterial small subunit ribosomal RNA", at positions 523 to 918 of the family's 1533-position model. The record is from RNAcentral.